CACGUAGUCAGCCGGUGCUUCUUCUACCCCUACCGUCACUCUCGCUUCGUCGGGGUCGAAAGAGGUUUACAACCCGAAGGCCGUCAUCCCUCACGCGGCGUCGCUGCAUCAGGCUUGCGCCCAUUGUGCAAUAUUCCCCACUGCUGCCUCCCGUAGGAGUCUGGGCCGUGUCUCAGUCCCAGUGUGGCCGGUCGCCCUCUCAGGCCAGCUACCCGUCACCGCCUUGGUAGGCCAUCACCCCACCAACAAGCUGAUAGGCCGCGGGCCCACCCCAUACCGGAAAAAACCUUUCCACACCCCACCAUGCGAUGAAGUGUCCUAUGCGGUAUUAGACCCCGUUUCCAGGGCUUAUCCCACAGUACGGGACAGGUUACCCACGUGUUACUCACCCGUUCGCCACUCCUCCACCCAGUCAAAGACCAGGCUUCAGCGUUCGACUUGCAUGUGUUAAGCACGCCGCCAGCGUUCGUCCUGAGCCAGGAUCAAACUACU
Molecule: ribosomal RNA, 492 nt
Filed under: uncultured Thermocrispum sp.
Lineage: Bacteria; Bacillati; Actinomycetota; Actinomycetes; Pseudonocardiales; Pseudonocardiaceae
Description: partial 16S ribosomal RNA
Source: RNAcentral